This 514-nucleotide ribosomal RNA is filed under the name uncultured bacterium. RNAcentral describes it as "bacterial SSU rRNA". It matches the Rfam family "Bacterial small subunit ribosomal RNA", at positions 33 to 518 of the family's 1533-position model. The record is from RNAcentral.
ACGCUGGCGGCGUGCCUAAUACAUGCAAGUCGAACGGCUUUUCUAUGGAAGCUUGCUUCCACUGAGAAGAUAGUGGCGAACGGGUGAGUAACACGUGGGUAACCUGCCCAUAAGAGGGGGAUAACAUCCGGAAACGGGUGCUAAUACCGCAUAGUUUUUCUUGAUUGCAUGAUUGAGAAAGGAAAGACGGCCUUUGUGCUGUCGCUUAUGGAUGGACCCGCGGCGUAUUAGUUAGUUGGUGAGGUAACGGCUCACCAAGACGAUGAUACGUAGCCGACCUGAGAGGGUGAUCGGCCACAUUGGGACUGAGACACGGCCCAAACUCCUACGGGAGGCAGCAGUAGGGAAUCUUCCGCAAUGGACGAAAGUCUGACGGAGCAACGCCGCGUGAGUGAAGAAGGUUUUUCCGGAUCGUAAAACUCUGUUGUCAGAGAAGAACAAGUUGGAGAGUAACUGCUCCAGCCUUGACGGUAUCUGACCAGAAAGCCACGGCUAACUACGUGCCAGCAGCUGC